UUGUUAGCUUUUUUUUAAAUUACAGCCAAAUGUCCUUGCAGAAUAGAUUUUCUUAACGUUUCUGACCUGCUAGCACCCUGUCCUAUGGCUUUGCUGGAUUAGCCUGAAUAUUGCCUGUGGAAGUGACAUGCUCGUGUGAUUUUUGCAGUGAGCUGGAGUACCAGAGUCUGUAACACACAUUGAAGUCACAGAUGUAAGGCCUGCUGUACACCACUGUGCAGGACGUUCUGUCAAGCUCAGCUUCUAGAGACAGAAGAAUCCCUUUAUUUCCCUGGGUCUGUGAACCACGUGAAACUGAAAUGUCUGCAACACCCUGAGUGUACUAAAUGGCAUUUAAGGCAGCAUCCAUCUGAUAUAAAUAUGUGAGUGCAAGAAGACUUUUACUGAAGGCACUAUGACAGACUGGCUGCAGACUUCUUGUAGAACUGUAGGUAUCCAAAAACUGUCUUAAUCUUGCUGCAUCUCUUUUGUCUUUAGUGCCUGAGUGGAACUUCCUCUUCUGAAGGAUCCUGACAGCAUUUGCUAUGGAGGAGUGCCAUCACUAGCAACGAUAAAAAUGCAGGAUAGAGGAGUGUAGAGGAGACUGGAGUUGCUGACCUCACUGGAACUUGUAUAAGUCAGUGGAAUAUAAGGAGAACUCACUUGCUCUUGCAAUGACCUCCAGUAUAAAACAUUGCAACCAAGGAAAGGUCAAAGAAUUAAAGCAAGCCAAUUGGUAGUGCUUCAGUAAAGCAGCUAAAAGUUUCUCUACUUGACCUUGAAAUAA
RNAcentral lists this long non-coding RNA (766 nucleotides) under Meleagris gallopavo (turkey). Its description in RNAcentral is "lncRNA (ENSMGAG00000019290.1)". The record is from RNAcentral. Lineage: Eukaryota; Metazoa; Chordata; Aves; Galliformes; Phasianidae.